Molecule: long non-coding RNA, 841 nt
Filed under: Ananas comosus (pineapple)
Lineage: Eukaryota; Viridiplantae; Streptophyta; Magnoliopsida; Poales; Bromeliaceae
Description: long non-coding RNA (ACOM_LNC042442)
Source: RNAcentral
GGUGUAAACAAAAAUAUUUUGAGAUGAUGAGAAAAUAAUAGAAUGCAGUAAAUAAUUAUAACUAUCCAAUAGGCCAGCAAUAAUAAUUCGUCGAGUCUAAAUUAUCGGCCCAAAAUAGUUAAGCUUAGUUAUUAUUACUAGGUUUAUGGUCUUUUGUAUUCUCAAUCACAACUUUGUUCUCAUCUAAUAUGGGAUUAUUAGGGUGUCCACAUGGAGGCCUCUGGGCUAUCAAGUUGUUUUCGAUGAUAGAACAUUCGAGUAGACGAUUUGCUCUAUUAGAUAUGAUCAAUACUAUUAGAAGUAUUUAUAAACUAAAUUUCAUAAUGUUUUGAUAUCGUUUAUUUUAAAAAUGAAUAAUCUCAAAAUGAAUGACUGAAAAUGAAAAUCUUAUAACAAAUAAUAUAAGCGACCUAAAUUUCAUAUUAGAUGUACCGACCUUGCUUUAAAACCAAUAAUGAAAAAAAAUUUUAUGAAAAUUUUACUAUAUUUCGGUUGUUCUACACCGUUAAACUUACAAUAUGUGUGUAUAUCUAAAUAUAAUUUUGAAAAUAUAUGAGAUAUAAUUUCUAAGUAUUUCAAAUAUUCUAGACCAUGUUUAACUUUAUAAAUCAUUGAUUUGGAAACUCCAUUAUAAAAAAUGACUUACAAGUCCUCUAUACUUAUAAGGAUAUAGUAGCCUUUUCUUCAUAAACAUGAUCUACACUAUUGAAAGUAUUUAGAAACCAAAUUUUAUAUAUGGCUAAAUUACAAAAAAUGCCCCUAUAAAAACCCGCCUUUUCACUUCCCCUCUUGAUAUUUAAAAACCUACACUUUGCCCGAUCCUAAUUACAGAAUUGUGCAC